GACCCAGACUCCUACGGGAGGCAGCAGUGGGGAAUAUUGCACAAUGGGGGAAACCCUGAUGCAGCGACGCCGCGUGAGCGAAGAAGUACCUCGGUAUGUAAAGCUCUAUCAGCAGGGAAGAAGAUGACGGUACCUGACCAAGAAGCCCCGGCUAACUACGUGCCAGCAGCCGCGGUAAUACGUAGGGGGCAAGCGUUAUCCGGAUUUACUGGGUGUAAAGGGGGCGCAGACGGCGAUGCAAGCCAGGAGUGAAAGCCCGGGGCCCAACCCCGGGACUGCUCUUGGAACUGCGCGGCUGGAGUGCAGGAGGGGCAGGCGGAAUUCCCGGUGUAGCGGUGAAAUGCGUAGAUAUCAGGAGGAACACCAGUGGCGAAGGCGUCUUACUGGACCGAAACUGACGUUGAGGCUCGAAAGCGUGGGGAGCAAACAGGAUUAGAUACCCUCGUAC
RNAcentral lists this ribosomal RNA (448 nucleotides) under uncultured bacterium. Its description in RNAcentral is "partial 16S ribosomal RNA". It matches the Rfam family "Bacterial small subunit ribosomal RNA", at positions 328 to 793 of the family's 1533-position model. The record is from RNAcentral.